This 400-nucleotide ribosomal RNA is filed under the name uncultured bacterium. RNAcentral describes it as "bacterial SSU rRNA". It matches the Rfam family "Bacterial small subunit ribosomal RNA", at positions 355 to 747 of the family's 1533-position model. The record is from RNAcentral.
UGGGGAAUUUUGGACAAUGGGGGAAACCCUGAUCCAGCCAUGCCGCGUGGGUGAAGAAGGCCUUCGGGUUGUAAAGCCCUUUCGGCGGAGACGAAACGGUGCGCGCUAAUAACGUGCACUACUGACGGUAUCCGCAGAAGAAGCACCGGCUAACUACGUGCCAGCAGCCGCGGUAAUACGUAGGGUGCGGGCGUUAAUCGGAAUUACUGGGCGUAAAGCGUGCGCAGGCGGUCUCUUAAGUCAGAUGUGAAAUCCCCGGGCUUAACCUGGGAACUGCGUUUGAAACUGGGAGGCUGGAGUGUGGCAGAGGGGGGUGGAAUUCCACGUGUAGCAGUGAAAUGCGUAGAUAUGUGGAGGAACACCGAUGGCGAAGGCAGCCCCCUGGGCUAACACUGACGCU